This is a non-coding RNA of Ictidomys tridecemlineatus (thirteen-lined ground squirrel), 3000 nucleotides long. The record is from RefSeq and is a predicted model, not a curated record. NCBI's taxonomy places the organism in Eukaryota, Metazoa, Chordata, Mammalia, Rodentia, Sciuridae.
AGGGCACGAUGAGGCCCACAACCUGAGCCGUGUCUUUCCGGCAUGGGCUCCGUGGCUAUAGGGUUCUGCGCGGCGCGCCCACCGGGUACCAGUGCUGCAGACGCAAUGCGGCAAACAGGUCCGCCGGGGAAGAGCGGCUUUUGGGUGUGGCGGAGCCAGGGAUUCGGAGGCGCGGCAAUUUUGCCAAGGGUCUGCCUACCUUUAGGGGAUGGGUGGUUGCCCAGGAUGCAGGGCCCACUGCCCCCGACCUCCAAUCUGGAGCUUCAAGCUCCGGUUGGCGCCAGCGCAGGCUUCCCAAGGCCAAAAUACGUUGGCCAGCUCCAGAAGCAAGCACCUUGCGGUUCCGAACAACGACAGCCCAUUUACCCGGAUAUCAACUGAAACUGGAAAUCUGAUUCUUGUCACAUACAGCACUUGGUGCUUCUUUGUUAAAUGAUGUGUUUUUUUUGCAGAAAUGAGGACAGCUCUCUUCCUUCUUGAGGACAUUUGUUAUCUUGGCUCUCGAAUAGAAAUUCAGAAAGAGGCAGGGACCAUUGGUGUGAUGGCAGAACUUGCUGGGCUUUUGUCUUUCAGAUUACAAUUGAAACCCAGGGGCGACAGCAACUUGCAAUAAAUCCUCCAGGAAAACAUCUUAUGGAAAUGUGGCCUGUCUAUGGAGACUGCUCAGACACCAUGAGGAGAGGGGACCCAGGACUUCCGAGGAGCUGUGUAAUUCCUGGCUUUUAUUUGUAAAUCUUACCAAGGAGCAUCAGAUCUGUAUAGAAAUCUGAGUCUGCUUCAACAUAAUAUAAUCUGAAGAUAAAUCUUACCACUUAACGUGCCUUGACCAAAUUUAUGUGAAAAGCAAAAUCUUAUAAUCAUCUCCUCUCCUAUUGUUUUAAGAAUCUAUUUGAUUUGACAUGGAAUUUACUGUUUCAGUUUCCAAAGAAACUAACAUUUUUCUGUUAGCAAGGCAGAGAGCUGGGUUGUGUAAUAUUUUUUACAUAAAUAAAUAAAUAAAUGUUCUUUACUGGUGCCCAGAGCCUGCACCCUCUAAAGCUUGUGUAAAUAAAGCUCCAUGUCAUGGUCACAUAUAAAGACCUUCCUUGUUUACCAAGAAAACGAUUCAUGUUCUGCUGGGAAGUCCAAGUUCUGUAAUCUUAACAAUUUUCUGAGUGGUCUCGCUAAUGUUAUAUCUUUGGAAGAACAAACACAAAUUCAUGAGGUUAUCAGUAAAUUGAUGUCCUUGGGGACCAGCUGUGAAGAGCAGAAUGACGAGCACACAAUGUUUUCUUCCUGAGCCUCGGUGCCAGCCAGAUCUCCAUGUUGAUGUUGAGUCUGCUAUGCAGAAUGGCAAUAUGGAAUUUUUUUUAAGUAUGCUAGUCCACAGGUUUAAGAAUUUAUCUGUGACAGCUCUACAAUCAGUCAAGAUACUCAACCUGAUCACUUGCUGUUUGCAGUUACUGAAGUCCCAUUAUAGGUUGUUUUUCCUCUGAGAAUCCUGUCUACUAUUGUCUUUAUACAAGAACCUGAUAUGUCACUGCAUGCAUUUUUUAAAUUUCUUGUAUAACCACCAAAAACCUAUUUAUUGAGCAGAAAAAAAGGGACAUUAUUUUGAUGAAUUUUUUUUUAAUGAUUCUUUUGAUGACUGCAUCGCAAGCUUCUGUUUUUGCAGAAUUCACUUAGGUUUGCCGCCCACCACUGCCGCAGUGAAGCUGCUCAGUUCUCAGUCCUGGGAAGCAAGCAUGCCUUCCGCACUGUCAUGCUAAGGACUCCAGGGGAGCUUUUGAAUAGCUGAAUAUUUGUUGAAAUAUAGAACUUCACAUAAAUACAGGGACAUCAUGGAAAUGUAUAGCAAUAGGUAUGGUGCUGCUUUAAACCUGGAAGGUUCUAAUCCCAGAAUCCAGAUCUGCGGGGUUCAUACUUGCUGAUCAAUUCAGUGUUUGUUUACCAGCACUGUGUGGUUAGCUGCAGGAAGAAAUUCCUGGGGUUUUGUCUUCCUUCCAUGGGUGCAUGCCACUCAGUAUGCAUAGUGCCAGUCCAGGCCAGGACGGUGAAGACACAGCGGCACAGGGAAAUGUUUCAAGUGGAAUCCGCACUGCAGGCAAAGAGCUCACUGGAUAAUCUCUUCUGAUUCCUUCUCCCCAUAUAAUGAACCAAUUUCAUAACUUCUGAUCAGUUAAAACUGGCAUCUGGCAGUGUGUGACAUGGGUGCCACAUGUGUGUCAAUUUCAAUGAAAAUGCUGCGUCUGGGAAUGAAGCCCUGGGCUUGCCUGCCAGCACCUCCUCCCUGAGGCCCCAAGCACAGUAUUUAUUUUUGGUACCAGGGAUUGAACUCAGGGGUGCUUUAAGCACUGAACCACAUCUCCAGCCCUUUUUAUAUUUUAUUUAUAGACAGGGCCUCACUGAGUUGCUUAAGGCCUUACUAAGUUGCUGAGGCUGGCUUUGAACUAGAGAUCCUCCUGCCUCAGCUUCCCAAGCUACUGGGGAUUACAGGUAUGGGCCACCACACCCAGCCCAGAGCACAGUUCUUCUAGAGGCUCUGUGUAGCGUUCUGAGCCGUGCCCUCAGUGAACCCUGGCCUAGACCUAGCCACGAGAAUUGUCCCAGGAUGGACAGUCACUUUCCUGCUGGCACAUGAGGAAAAGUGAGACUUUCCUCUUGUCUGGAAAUAUUUGGCUUCCAGAGACAAACCUACAGGUCAUGGAGAACACCUCCAUCACACUCCUGACACCUUUUGAGCCCCUAAAUGGAACCCAUGGGGUAUGCUUAGCAAUCACAUGAACCCAUCAUGUUUGAGCUGGGUGUCUGCCCCUUGUAGGGGUGGCACCUGUGGAUGGUAGAGCUCAGGGGACUCCUGAGGGACUGGAAGAACCCUGUCAGAGCUUCUUACCCCACCAGGGACUCUGAUUGACCUCCUGAAAAAGGAGAUUCCAGCCAAGAUGACUAGCAAAGGGAAAGAGCGGGAGGGGAAACCUGUGGGAGACCAUCCACUGUACUGACUCCGGCUGUGCCUCAGCC